UUGAACGCUGGCGGCAGGCCUAACACAUGCAAGUCGAGCGGAUGAAGGGAGCUUGCUCCUGGAUUCAGCGGCGGACGGGUGAGUAAUGCCUAGGAAUCUGCCUGGUAGUGGGGGAUAACGUCCGGAAACGGGCGCUAAUACCGCAUACGUCCUGAGGGAGAAAGUGGGGGAUCUUCGGACCUCACGCUAUCAGAUGAGCCUAGGUCGGAUUAGCUAGUUGGUGGGGUAAAGGCCUACCAAGGCGACGAUCCGUAACUGGUCUGAGAGGAUGAUCAGUCACACUGGAACUGAGACACGGUCCAGACUCCUACGGGAGGCAGCAGUGGGGAAUAUUGGACAAUGGGCGAAAGCCUGAUCCAGCCAUGCCGCGUGUGUGAAGAAGGUCUUCGGAUCGUAAAGCACUUUAAGUUGGGAGGAAGGGCAGUAAGUUAAUACCUUGCUGUUUUGACGUUACCAACAGAAUAAGCACCGGCUAACUUCGUG
Molecule: ribosomal RNA, 483 nt
Filed under: uncultured bacterium
Lineage: Bacteria
Description: partial 16S ribosomal RNA
Rfam family: Bacterial small subunit ribosomal RNA
Source: RNAcentral